UUUCCGUAGGUGAACCUGCGGAAGGAUCAUUAUUGUAUAACCGAGGUGCGAGGGCUGUCGCUGACCCGAAAGGUCGUGCACGCCCGAGUGCCCUCACACACAUCCAUCUCACCCCUAUGUGCACCACCGCGUGGGUCCCCCUUUGGCUUGUUCGGAGGGGGGCUUACGUUUUCACACAAACUUUGUAUGCAGUGUAGAAUGUAUUUUUUGUUUUUGCGAUCACGCAAUCAAUACAACUUUCAACAACGGAUCUCUUGGCUCUCGCAUCGAUGAAGAACGAGC
This 282-nucleotide unclassified non-coding RNA is filed under the name plant metagenome. Its description in RNAcentral is "partial contains small subunit ribosomal RNA, internal transcribed spacer 1, and 5.8S ribosomal RNA". The stretch from base 235 to 282 matches the Rfam family "5.8S ribosomal RNA", at positions 1 to 49 of the family's 154-position model. The record is from RNAcentral.